CGCUUUACACCCACUCUGAGCACUAAUCAGACUCACACUAGGCAGAAAACACUUAAAUAAAAAUACUUGCAGUUAACAGAGCUGACACUGAUAAUUACAUAUUUCUCAAGUCUGUGCCUGUUGCACUUUAAAGCAAUGGGACGCCAAGGUCUUAUGCAAUGGCUGUUUCUUUUUUUAAACCCCAAACAAUAUAACAUCACAGAAAAUAGGGCGACGCCGCGCAUCGCUGCUGCUCAUGUUAGCGCCCAGACAACACCCAGUAACCCCCACAUACCCUCAUUUCUUGGCUGCACACACCUGAAACAGCUAAUUUUUCUGGGAGCCUUCCAAAGAGCCAAAUUUGUUGCUUGCACAUGCAUGUGGGUUGGCAGCAGCAGCAGCAGCAGCAGCGGAGGCUCUCUAAAUAUCUGACACCACCGGAAACAACGCCCACGAACAAGGCAUCCUCUGAUUCUGCUCUCAGAUUGUUUACUGUGGGUAGUUAGUGCUCAUUUUUAUGUCUUAAAUUUCAUUGCCAAAACAAAGAAGUGGGGGAUGGGAAGUUGUUUAAUUCAUAAAGCAUGCAUUUUAUUUAUGGAAGACAAAAGAUUUGGAGCAAUUAUUGCUCUGGAAGAACCGUGCCUUCUAAAACGUUACAGCUUCAGAUGUUCCCCAUCUUUAUCAGCCUGAAGCUGCAUUUGUGGAUUUCCCAGUCAGCCACCGCUGCUCCUGGCGAGGAGGCCUAUUGCUUCUGAUCUAGAAGUUAAUAAUGCAAGAUGGUGCCAGCAGCCAAUGUCAGAUGCAUGUGUUGAACUGAUGACCUGCUGCUCAAAGUACUUACCAUGAGGUCGUGGAGAAAGUGGAAUGAAAAACUGAGAUUGUUUCAGAAUCGUGUGGAAGAUUUCUGGAUUUCUGGCAGUUUGAACUGAGACAAUAUUUGGCAACUCCCGUCUACUUCAGAUGCUAACAGGAACGAUUCUUGGCUGCCCCUCACCUUCUUACAGCUACACAGAGGAGGUUUGAUGGAAUUAUAGGACAAAGCCAGUCAUUUCCUAUAUUAACUGUAUUUUCAACACUCCCCUUACAACGACAAUGAGCUGCCUCUGCUCACAGGUCAUGUCUGUCAUUGUGUCUGUCCUGGCCCAGCUUGUUCUUUGCAAUAGAUCUUCAUUGUAAUUCAAAAACAAUUAAAAACACAUCAGUGAAACACACCACUGCACAGGGUGACAUGUUUCUUCUUCAGCAAAUGUGAGUAGCUAACAGAAUGUGAACUAAACAGAGAACUGGUGUAAGAUGUGCAGCUGCCUCUGACUCGUGCUAACUUCAGGAUAUUAUGGCUGCUCUCUGAGGCUUUGAGGCAACAUAGUUGGUUCUGGGGUUUUGGAAUGAAAAACUUGUCACCCAGUGCUGAGACGUGCACAAUAUAACUUUGUCUUAAAAUCUGUCAAAUCUUCGU
Molecule: long non-coding RNA, 1435 nt
Organism: Monopterus albus (swamp eel)
Lineage: Eukaryota; Metazoa; Chordata; Actinopteri; Synbranchiformes; Synbranchidae
Exons: 3
Source: RefSeq, a predicted model, not a curated record